This 253-nucleotide ribosomal RNA is filed under the name uncultured bacterium. Its description in RNAcentral is "partial 16S ribosomal RNA". It matches the Rfam family "Bacterial small subunit ribosomal RNA", at positions 524 to 776 of the family's 1533-position model. The record is from RNAcentral.
GACGAACCGUGCGAACGUUGUUCGGAUUCACUGGGCUUAAAGGGCGCGUAGGCGGGUGAUCAAGUCAGGGGUGAAAUCCUCCAGCUCAACUGGAGAACAGCCUCUGAUACUGGUCAUCUGGAGGAAGGUAGGGGCAUGUGGAACUUCCGGUGGAGCGGUGAAAUGCGUAGAUAUCGGAAGGAACGCCGGUGGCGAAAGCGACGUGCUGGACCUUUUCUGACGCUGAGGCGCGAAAGCCAGGGGAGCAAACGGG